RNAcentral lists this ribosomal RNA (406 nucleotides) under uncultured Gammaproteobacteria bacterium. RNAcentral describes it as "bacterial SSU rRNA". It matches the Rfam family "Bacterial small subunit ribosomal RNA", at positions 1 to 410 of the family's 1533-position model. The record is from RNAcentral. Lineage: Bacteria; Pseudomonadati; Pseudomonadota; Gammaproteobacteria.
UGAGUUUGAUUAUGGCUCAGNUUGAACGCUGGCGGCAGGCCUAACACAUGCAAGUCGAACGGUAACAGGAAGAAGCUUGCUUCUUUGCUGACGAGUGGCGGACGGGUGAGUAAUGUCUGGGAAACUGCCUGAUGGAGGGGGAUAACUACUGGAAACGGUAGCUAAUACCGCAUAACGUCGCAAGACCAAAAAGGGGGACCUUCGGGCCUCUUGCCAUCGGAUGUGCCCAGAUGGGAUUAGCUAGUAGGUGGGGUAACGGCUCACCUAGGCGACGAUCCCUAGCUGGUCUGAGAGGAUGACCAGCCACACUGGAACUGAGACACGGUCCAGACUCCUACGGGAGGCAGCAGUGGGGAAUAUUGCACAAUGGGCGCAAGCCUGAUGCAGCCAUGCCGCGUGUAUGAAG